Molecule: long non-coding RNA, 1221 nt
Filed under: Gadus morhua (Atlantic cod)
Lineage: Eukaryota; Metazoa; Chordata; Actinopteri; Gadiformes; Gadidae
Description: lncRNA (ENSGMOG00000024023.1)
Source: RNAcentral
AUGCCGUUCUGCAAACGGACGAUACUUCCGAAAGAUGUGUGCCGCCGACGACGAGGGGGGGAGGACAGCGACGCGAACGCACCGAUCGCGGGGUUCGUGGACCUGGUGGACGUGUGCGGCUUCGCGCUGUGCGCGGUUCUCCGCCAGCUCUCGGACCUGUCCCGCCACUCGGUCCGCAUCCUCGAGGAGCUGGAGGGCGAUCUGGUGGCCGUGUGUCGCCGCUCUGGUGCGCUCGAGGGGAAGCUGGUCGGCCUGCAACGGCACGUCGCUGCGCUGGUCAGCAAACCGCCUCCGAAAACAGUCAGUGGUCUUGAGGCGGAGGGCAGCAGCGGCGGCGCUAGCAGGCGAGCGGGCACCAGCAGCAACAGCUGCCACGGCAACAGCGGCGGCGGCGGAGGAGCGGCGUCCUCCAGCAGCAGCCACGGCAGCGCUGGGCCGGCCCACUCUGGGUCUCCAUGGCAACAGAGCGUGAACGUGUUCGGCUCGUGGAGCCGGCCGGACUGCGUGGAGGAGCUCCACCAGCAAGCCCAGCAGAACCUCCAGAGCCUGCUGCAAGGUAGGGCGAGAGACACCCGCACACAGCUGAGGGGAGAGAGAGAGAGAGAGAGAGAGAGAGAGAGAGAGAGAGAGAGAGAGAGGAGAGAGAGAGAGAGAGAGAGAGAGAGAGAGAGAGAGAGAGAGAGAGAGAGAGAGGGAGAGCGCUACAGGGAGACCGAGGUGAGGACGAGAGACACACACCUGGAGAGAGAGAGGGGAGGGAGAGAGACACCUGGAGACGAGGGAGAGAGAGGGGAGCGAGCGACGCCAGCUGACUCCUGGAGAGAGAGAGAGAGAGAGAGAGAGAGAGAGAGAGAGAGAGAGAGAGAGAGAGAGAGAGAGAGAGAGAGAGAGACACGCAUUAACACACAGCUGAGGGGAGAGAGAGAGAGGGAGAGAGAGGGAGAGAAGGAGAGAGGGAGGGAGGGAGGCUCAGAGGAUGGAGGAGCGGUAGAGAGAGAGUGGGAGGACUUGAUGAAGAGAGGAUGCUACAGUCGGAGGGUGGGAUGGAGAGAGGGAGGGUCUGUCGGUGCGCUACGACCCAGCGUGCGGGGUAAGAGCUGGCGACGGAGCAUGGGGGGACGGAGGGAUGGAUGGACGGGCUGGGGGGUAUUAUUGUGUUAUUCUUGUGUGUGUGUGUGGGUGUGUGUGUGUGUGUGUUUGUAUUGGUGCAUAUUGUGUUAG